CUGCCCAUCAGAAGGGGAUAACACUUGGAAACAGGUGCUAAUACCGUAUAACACUAUUUUCCGCAUGGAAGAAAGUUGAAAGGCGCUUUUGCGUCACUGAUGGAUGGACCCGCGGUGCAUUAGCUAGUUGGUGAGGUAACGGCUCACCAAGGCCACGAUGCAUAGCCGACCUGAGAGGGUGAUCGGCCACACUGGGACUGAGACACGGCCCAGACUCCUACGGGAGGCAGCAGUAGGGAAUCUUCGGCAAUGGACGAAAGUCUGACCGAGCAACGCCGCGUGAGUGAAGAAGGUUUUCGGAUCGUAAAACUCUGUUGUUAGAGAAGAACAAGGAUGAGAGUAGAACGUUCAUCCCUUGACGGUAUCUAACCAGAAAGCCACGGCUAACUACGUGCCAGCAGCCGCGGUAAUACGUAGGUGGCAAGCGUUGUCCGGAUUUAUUGGGCGUAAAGCGAGCGCAGGCGGUUUCUUAAGUCUGAUGUGAAAGCCCCCGGCUCAACCGGGGAGGGUCAUUGGAAACUGGGAGACUUGAGUGCAGAAGAGGAGAGUGGAAUUCCAUGUGUAGCGGUGAAAUGCGUAGAUAUACGGAGGAACACCAGUGGCGAAGGCGGCUCUCUGGUCUGUAACUGACGCUGAGGCUCGAAAGCGUGGGGAGCGAACAGGAUUAGAUACCCUGGUAGUCCACGCCGUAAAC
This 694-nucleotide ribosomal RNA is filed under the name uncultured bacterium. RNAcentral's name for it is "bacterial SSU rRNA". It matches the Rfam family "Bacterial small subunit ribosomal RNA", at positions 126 to 807 of the family's 1533-position model. The record is from RNAcentral.